CAAGGUCGUAACUCCUUCUCUUCUCUGGAGGGGCUUCAGGAGAGAAAAUCUGGGGGUUCUGGGGGUUGAAUCUCUCCUGCCCAUGGAAACAGUAGAGUCAGCCGAUCAUCGCAUGUUCCCAAGCAAGCACCCCGGUGGGGCAUAGGAGAAGCUGGCUGCUGCUGCUGGUUUGGCUCCAUCAAGGUUCCCAAGGAGGCUGUCAAAGAAGAUGGCGUGCUUUCUCUGUGCUGGCUACUACUUCACCAUCAAGAUUUUGGCCUAAAUAGUCACUUCUGCAUGAAAAACAACUUCACAAGAUGCAUCCAGACAUUGCAGGCAUGGCAAUAUCAAAGAGAGAUGUCUACUCAAGGGACCUCCAUAGACCAAGCCUAAUAGCAGAUGGGUAAAGCUCCUCCUCCUCCACAGUGAAACUUUGUCUGUUAAUCAAUUCACAGCAGAGUACUUGAUCAUAUUUUGUCACCAUUCAAGAGACAGAACUGGUUUUAGUGAUUUGGUGGCUCGAGACACUGCUACAGAAUAAAUCGUUUUGGGACUUAGGCUCUCACUAUACUUUAUAUGCAACCCAUCACCUAAAAAGGCCAGUUUCCAUCAUUCUCCUUCUUGCAGGGUUUGUUGUCGACUUCUCCAUGUACUCACUGAUAGACUGGAUUAGAUGAGAAAAUAUGCAAAUUCACUCCUAAUAAAACAUUUUAAAUUCUGA
Molecule: long non-coding RNA, 700 nt
Organism: Ornithorhynchus anatinus (platypus)
Lineage: Eukaryota; Metazoa; Chordata; Mammalia; Monotremata; Ornithorhynchidae
Exons: 3
Source: RefSeq, a predicted model, not a curated record